RNAcentral lists this long non-coding RNA (376 nucleotides) under Setaria viridis. RNAcentral describes it as "long non-coding RNA (SVIR_LNC000635)". The record is from RNAcentral. Lineage: Eukaryota; Viridiplantae; Streptophyta; Magnoliopsida; Poales; Poaceae.
GGUACGAUCUCGGAUCGGGGCGAUUUCUAUACGAAAAUUGAUCUACAGAAAAAGUUACACAUGAAAUUCAACGGCUUUGCCGUUUUCGGCGAAAUUAGAUUUGCCAAAUUCGGCUUGGAAGAUGGAGUUUCGGGCCUCCGAAGUUUGGAACGUUAGGACGCCUAACUCUAUUUUGCAGGAUGUAUGUAUGUAUCUUGUGAUCAGUAUGGCCCCCUUGUGUAUGUGAUGCAUGUGUGUAACUCAUUCGUGACCUGCGUGUCGCGCGUACGGCAACACGGCAGGAGCCAUAUGUGUUGUCACUUUAUUGUAUUUAAUGGUCUGCGUACCAAUCUGUGAUGAUCCAAGCAACUAUGUAAUCUUCAUUACUAGAUGCUUU